UACGUAGGGUGCGAGCGUUGUCCGGAAUUAUUGGGCGUAAAGAGCUCGUAGGCGGUUUGUCACGUCUGCUGUGAAAUCCCGAGGCUCAACCUCGGGCCUGCAGUGGGUACGGGCAGACUGGAGUGCGGUAGGGGAGAAUGGAAUUCCUGGUGUAGCAGUGAAAUGCGUAGAUAUCAGGAGGAAUACCGAUGGCGAAGGCAGGUCUCUGGGCUAUAACUGACGCUCAUGCACGAAAGCGUGGGGAGCAAACAGG
RNAcentral lists this ribosomal RNA (253 nucleotides) under uncultured bacterium. Its description in RNAcentral is "partial 16S ribosomal RNA". It matches the Rfam family "Bacterial small subunit ribosomal RNA", at positions 524 to 776 of the family's 1533-position model. The record is from RNAcentral.